This 60-nucleotide microRNA precursor is filed under the name Strongyloides ratti. RNAcentral's name for it is "microRNA str-mir-76 precursor". Its record names the gene str-mir-76. The record is from miRBase by way of RNAcentral. Lineage: Eukaryota; Metazoa; Nematoda; Chromadorea; Rhabditida; Strongyloididae.
CGAGUUUCGUGAUGUCGAAUAAAAGUUUGAUAAUCUAAUUCGUUGUUACUGAAACUCGUC